Molecule: long non-coding RNA, 3091 nt
Organism: Oreochromis aureus
Lineage: Eukaryota; Metazoa; Chordata; Actinopteri; Cichliformes; Cichlidae
Exons: 3
Source: RefSeq, a predicted model, not a curated record
GCAGAGGCUGCACAGCUUCCCACAGCUCACAUCUCACACCUGCAGCGGGCCCGCUGGUUUCACACAGGAGGCCCGUGGUCUGUCCAUUGGAAGAUACAUGAUUCGCCUCACAAAUAUGGAUUUCUAUUCUACUUCAGGACCUAUCCAUGCAUACGCAUCUGCGCUCCGGUGGUCAGGCUGCACUGCCAAAACCCGUUGGAUCUCAACUCAAACUCGAUCUGUAUGGAAAGACAGUGAUUAUAAGGAACACCUUUUUCCCCCUUUCUUUUAGAAUCAGAAUCAACUUCUCUGUUUAACUCUAAGGUAAAUUUUUGUUUUUAUUUGAGUAUAUUUUUGCUAUCUGGCGCGCGUAAACUUUAACGGUCUCCUCGAAAGUUGCUGGAAGUGUUACAGAAAAAAGGGAGGUAGCCGAGCUGGAAGGCCCGCGACGGGGAGGGUGAGGGAUGGAGAUGGGGAGACGAUGCUUUCGGAAGUGCUGCUUUGAUGCGUUUUGAUGCAGGAGGGAGAAAAGAGACACGCAGAGCAGACGUGCAGACCCGGCUCCAGCCUCUGAUACACGCCUUCAUUGCGCAGUAACUGAUUUAAAAUGUUUUCUUUGAGAUGUAAUAUACGCAAAUGUAAAACAUACUUAGUAGCUUUUUGUCAAUGUAACUAUCACCCUGCGUUUAAUUUAAGUUGUAUUUUUGUAGUUUUGCAGAAUCAAUAUCUGAAAAAGGGUCGCUGUGAGUUUGACAAGAAUGCAUGGUCGUUUUUGUGCAACGAAUUAACUGAUUCAUGAUUAAUUAUCAAUAUUUUAUAGCUGAAACAUUUGAAAUGCACUUCAUCACUAAAAGUGCAUAAUGCAUUUAACAGGCGGAAUCGCAGUAUAAACAGGUGUUCCCAUCAUUAACGUGAUGGGUUUCGGUGUAAAAUAGUAAUAACACCAGCAAAUCCGUCUCUAAAAUUUAAGUUUCAUUAUACACUCAGUCGUCCUUUUGCAUCAGUAAUCUACAUCUUCCGUUUACAAGGCAGAGGCCAGCCUCUGAAGAAGAGUAACAUUCCCAUCAGGGAUAAUUGACUGAAGAGACUUUCGGGGAAACGGCAAGAGUAAUUACUGCAGGUUAAGUGCACGUCCCGGAGCCCAGUGGAGGCAGCUCUAUCCCUCACCUGGGACAUGACUCAGCACACUUCAGGUCAUCCGGCCAUUUCCCUGACCACUGGACCACACCCCGACCUACUCUAAACCCGCAGGACAGCCACGUUCGCUUCCAUCACGUAAUGUAAUGGUUGUUUUAUUUACUGGCUAAACUGUUUGCAGAAAGACAGCCCACACUAACAUGUUUAUCUAGUCAGAUGCUAAAAAAGCAUAUAUUUCUUUUCUUUAUUUUCAUAUUCAGCAGCUUCUAAAUAAGAUUAUGCUUUAUGUAAACUGAAACAUUAUAUGUUUCUCUCCUGGCUAAGAUGGGAGAUCCAGUCUUAAUGCAUUCGAUUUUAGAUACAAAUGAUAAAAUGUGCAUUUUGCCAUUCAUAUCUUACACCUGCCUCUCUGUCAAAGCGCAGGACAGAGUUCAGGCUUCGGUUGUCUGGGUUAAACAAAACAAACUUCCCCUAUGCUGUAUGCUUCCUGUGAAUCUCAGCAAGAAAAGACUGUCUGGGGAAACAAAAAGGGAGCUGGACUUACAUUAAGCUGUACUUCAGGAUAUAUCAUUAGGUUAAAAAUUGACUGUGGCUGUUCUCCAUAAUCACUUAGAGUGGAGACAUGUUAGGAAAGGAUCUCUACAGUGACGUCUAACUUUUUUUUGUUGUGCUGACCAGAUAUUAAAGGAUGAUAUUUAGGCUCUCAGCACAGCACUUUUAUUUUUGCAUUAAAGUACAAUUACAUUCAUGUAGAUAGUUCCUAAUCAGCUCACCUGUUUUUAGGUUUUUAUCAAGAUGUGUUGGUUCAGCAGUGAAAGAAACAAACUGUGUGUGCAUGUAGUGUAUAUGUAAAAAAAUAAUAUAAUAUUCUUGCGUUAGCCUAGUGAAGCUGUCAGCGCGGCUGCCGGUGGGUCAGUGUCUGCUUUCACCUAAAACUCUCCCUGUGUGUUUACAGCAUGUCUGUUUCAGGACUGAAUGGAUGAACCCAGCCUGCUGCCGUGUCCAUCCACCUGCCCUGUUUCCUGUCUGACUAAUGUUCUUUUUUGUGUGCGUGCGUGCAUGCGUGUGUAUGUGUGUUUGUUUUAUAUGUGUCGUUGUGUGGAAAUGGUUAUAGAUGGGACUACACCGUCACACUGGCAGUCUGAAUCAUUACUCACAGAGAUAGGGAGAGACCCAGGGCCGAGGAACCCCUAACAUCCUCCACCUUCCUGCACUGACACGCACACACUUGCACACAUAGACACACUCUCGCAUUCACAUAUCCCCAGGUUAUUCAUUUGUACGCAGAGUGCCUGGCAUUUCACCAUAUCCACCCCCUCCACCCCCACAAACCCCCUUUAUUAAGAGACUGAAGCAUUGGGUUCCCUUUUGUAGGGGGGUGAGGAAUGGUUUUCGUUUGAGCCUUAUAUUCUUUGUUUGUGCUCUUUGUUCCUUACCUCUUCAUUUCUCUUAAUCUUUCAUUGUCAUUGCUUUCUCCCUUUUUCUCUGUCUCAUUUUCUCUUUUUCUUUUUAAGGGAAGCUGUCAGCCCCCCAGCCCCGAUGGCUACUUGUUUUUAGAAGACCAAAGGCAAGGAUGGGAAAAAAAAGUUGCUGCUAAUUUACAGUAUGAGUUUUUACCUGCAUUUUGAGACUCCGGAUGUAAAUCAGUGGCAGCAGAUACCGGCCUCUAGAGUUGGAAAGGUCCGGAAUUCCCACUGAUUUUGAGCAUUGGGAGUUCCCUACAAAGCCAGUGAACCUUUACUCUGGUACUUAAGUCUGGCUGUGCUGGUGGAGAUUCACUUUAAUAGGCAUAAUUAAUAAUGAGCACUACGCUGCCACAUUAGAAUCAGAGGCACAAGCAGGCUGCUACAAUGCUAAACUUUAUUUUAGAGAACCUCUUAUGAAGUAGAUGCAUUUAUUAAGCUAGUUUCUGGCCUAGUUUAUUAAGCAUAUUUAUAGUAAUAAUUCUUUUGUAUUUAUAACUAAUCUUCCCAAG